GAUGAACGCUGGCGGCGUGCCUAAUACAUGCAAGUCGAGCGAACAGAUGAGGAGCUUGCUCCUCUUACGUUAGCGGCGGACGGGUGAGUAACACGUGGAUAACCUACCUAUAAGACUUGGAUAACUUCGGGAAACCGGAGCUAAUACCGGAUAAUAUAUUGAACCGCAUGGUUCAAUAGUGAAAGACGGUUUUGCUGUCACUUAUAGAUGGAUCCGCGCCGCAUUAGCUAGUUGGUAAGGUAACGGCUUACCAAGGCAACGAUGCGUAGCCGACCUGAGAGGGUGAUCGGCCACACUGGAACUGAGACACGGUCCAGACGCCUACGGGAGGCAGCAGUAGGGAAUCUUCCGCAAUGGGCGAAAGAAUGACGGAGCAACGCCGCGUGAGUGAUGAAGGUCUUCGGAUCGUAAAACUCUGUUAUUAGGGAAGAACAAAUGUGUAAGUAACUAUGCACGUCUUGACGGUACAUAAUCAGAAAGCCACGGCUAACUACGUG
This 497-nucleotide ribosomal RNA is filed under the name uncultured bacterium. Its description in RNAcentral is "partial 16S ribosomal RNA". It matches the Rfam family "Bacterial small subunit ribosomal RNA", at positions 28 to 507 of the family's 1533-position model. The record is from RNAcentral.